Drosophila melanogaster (fruit fly) is the source of this 721-nucleotide non-coding RNA. Lineage: Eukaryota; Metazoa; Arthropoda; Insecta; Diptera; Drosophilidae. The record is from Ensembl.
CAAUCCGUGCCAGUAAUAUAUCCACUUAAUAUGAUACUUUGCUGAAUGCAUAAUGGUUUAAAAGCUUAAUUCAAUUUCAUUAUAGUACCACCUGGGGCAUCUUAUCGGCCGUCGAGUAAGUUAAUGAUCUUUCAAUUAAUUCCCAGGCAGUAUUUGCACUGGCACUUUAUUUGCUUCGCAGAAUUGCCCGAGUGCGCUGCACUCGAUUACUUAUUCACCCAUUAAUUCAGGCAAACACAGCCUCCGCCGCCCAACACCCACUGCACACAUGAGCAGACAUAAGCACGUUAUAAUUAUAACAUAUUAAUUAAAUAAAGUGCACUUCCGCUGUCAUUAACACAGCUCGCGCCAGAGCUCAGAGCCAGCUCAUCAUAAUAGCUCGACUAAGCUGGGAUGCCAACCUUACGGCAUUGUUUGGUGCCAGGAGCAGCAAACAGACAACAAGCUGGAUGCAUCUGCAUCAGGAGUCAAACCGAGGGCGAGGUCACUACACCACCCGGCGGGCGGCCAAAGCUAGUUUAUGGUCAACUAGCCGGCCCCUAAGUCCACUCCCGCCGGAGCUUCGGGGCUCCAACACGUGUGGGCAAGUCCCAGAUGAUCCCCAUCACCGGAAUGAAGUGUUGUCACCGGAGGAGCUGGCUGUGAUUGCGCAAUCACUGGCUAUCGCUAGCAAAAAGGGUUGAAUGAAUUGUUAUAAACGGGAUGGGUUCAUAAAUAUUAU